RNAcentral lists this long non-coding RNA (1000 nucleotides) under Struthio camelus australis. RNAcentral's name for it is "lncRNA (ENSSCUG00000006690.1)". Lineage: Eukaryota; Metazoa; Chordata; Aves; Struthioniformes; Struthionidae. The record is from RNAcentral.
AGGUAGGCAACCUGAGAUCCCUUUUCUUGUAAACCAAGUCUGUAGGCUAACACAAUCACCUCAACUCUUUCUCUGACUCCUAGGUGUCUGGAGAUCUCAUCACUUCCCAGAGAUUAUCACGGUGGGCGACAACACAGGCAUACAGCUGAGACAUUGGCCAGGACUCUGGAGAAGCAGGUUUGGUCCUUUGCUCUGCUACAGACUUGUGGGGUGCCCUUAUAUAGGGUUAUUUAAAAGAUUUUCAAAAAAAGUUUUCAAAGGCAUGCCUGGAAAUGUAGUGACAGAGAAAGGUAUUCAUCCGGGAAUGCUUAGAAUAAGUCAACUGGAGUCAAGAUUAUUAAAUUCUCCUGCUGACAGUGACUUGCAAUGCAUAACUUGAGUUGAGUGAGUCACUUCUUUGUGGCCUCUGUUUAUAUUCUGGUAGUUAGAACGUGUAAGACUUUUAUUAGGCACUUUUCAUGGCGUUUAAAAAGUGAAUUAGUGAUAAAUAUAUGUAUACUUAAUAACAUUGAAGUAAUAUUUUCACCAAGCUGCAAAGAUUGUAUGGAUAAUUCAAUCUAUAGAUUUACAAAUAAUUUAUUCAGUUAUUAUUUUAACUAGUUUUACUAGAUGAAUGAAUUAAAUAGCUGGCAGUUUGCCUAUCUCUUCAUUGCCCUGCUACCUUCUCUCUCUUUUAACAGAGUUAUUUUUCCUUUUGCCCUGAUUGUGAAUGUGGCAUCCUUUCUACUUCACAGACAUCCUCUCUGGACAAGUUAGGCAAGGGAGAUGCUCAAGUGUGAGCAUAUCCUUGCUCCACCACGUUGUGGGAAAAAGAGUGUGCCUGGGCUUUGUGGCAGCACUGAGACCUGCUCUGAGACCCCCUCAGCUUCUUCAUUUCUGUAAAGCCCUGUGAAGGGUCUGUCUGGUGGGACAUGAAGGCUAUACCUGCCCAUUUCCACAGCUGAUCUCUGGUAGUAGUGAGUGUGGGAAAAAAAAGUUCGUUUGUCCUUUCUGAGCAGAA